UACGAAGGGGGCUAGCGUUGCUCGGAAUCACUGGGCGUAAAGGGUGCGUAGGCGGGUCUUUAAGUCAGGGGUGAAAUCCUGGAGCUCAACUCCAGAACUGCCUUUGAUACUGAGGAUCUUGAGUACGGGAGAGGUGAGUGGAACUGCGAGUGUAGAGGUGAAAUUCGUAGAUAUUCGCAAGAACACCAGUGGCGAAAGCGGCUCACUGGCCCGUUACUGACGCUGAGGCACGAAAGCGUGGGGAGCAAACAGG
This 253-nucleotide ribosomal RNA is filed under the name uncultured bacterium. RNAcentral's name for it is "partial 16S ribosomal RNA". It matches the Rfam family "Bacterial small subunit ribosomal RNA", at positions 524 to 776 of the family's 1533-position model. The record is from RNAcentral.